AAGUCGUAACAAGGUUUCCGAAGGUGAACGUUAAACCCCCCCGUGAACCUUCAGUGCGCUCGCACUUUCUUAGAAAAGGUAGCAAUCCCUGGUACAUCAUUGCCGAACAGUUUUGAUUCAGGGACUUCUGCGUAGACUGUGCUUGAGCGUGAGGCAAGUGGCCUGGCAUUCCUCUGCUUGUUGGUGUCUGAAAGUGUCACCAGCUCUGUACGAAUGGCGCAGUCACGAUCGCUAGAGGCCGACACGGCCGGCGACCGGGUCACUGGGCGCGAGCCCCCCUCGUCACCUUUGCAUGAAAACGGGCCUGCGCUUAAUUGUGCGGCCACCAAACUCGAACAACUGUUAACAAUGGAUAUCUUGGUUCUC
RNAcentral lists this unclassified non-coding RNA (366 nucleotides) under fungal sp. Its description in RNAcentral is "partial internal transcribed spacer region". Lineage: Eukaryota; Fungi. The record is from RNAcentral.